AAGGCGUGCGCCACCAACGCCCGGCUUGAAAAAAAAUUUUAAAAGGUGCUUUUACCCACUGAGCCAUCUUCCUCAGUUUCAAAAUAAUUAAUAAAUUCAUCAUUUUGGACAUUUUUCUGUUUAUAGUAUAAACAUAGUUUCUGGGGCUGAGGAUGAAGCUGGGUGGCAGAGUACGUGCCUAACGUAAGGCCUUGGGUAUGACCCCUCCAUUGUAGACCCAAACAAAGCCAUAAUUAUAGUAUCUACAGUCCCUGCUGUCAACUUUCCAUUCCAGGUGAGUCAGUAGCAACCCCCUGUGCAGUCCCUGAACCUGUUGAGGCCCUGGCUUGAAAGCUGCCAUUUUCGUUUCUUCUCCAUACUUUUUGCCCCCACCCCAAACAUUCUUGCUAUGUAGCUGGCCUUAAACUGGCUAAGCAUCCCAAGUCCUGGGAUUGCACAUGUGCUCCACUGUGCUCAACCUCCUCUCAUAACUUCCUGUGUGUAUGAAUUCAUGGUUUUGCUAGUUUCUGAGCUUCCUAACAUACUUCUCAGCACACGCUUGCCAUAUUAUGGGACUUACUAUUUUGGCUUAAGACUUGUUGGUGUUGCUGCAUUAAGGACUUCCAGCAUUUCCUGACUGCCCAAUUGCCCUGUGUUAGCUGAUGGUCAUCCCGAAGGAAAUCAAGCUCAGUGUAUAUGGUACCUGCCCUGUGCUCCACAUCACUUUCCCCCUCUCAUUCCAGAGGCUCUGCACCAGGAUUUUCCCAUGUGACCUUCUGGCACAGGCCUGCUUGAACAUGCUAGUUUCCCACGUUCUCUGUUCUGCUUUUUUCAGGAAGGGUCUUGAAUGAAAAAGAGGCCCCAUCCCACAGACGGCACUUUUAUGAUACCUCACCAUGGGAAACACAGCCACUCCAACCUACCAGUGCCACUUCAGGAAUUGAUCCCCCAGGAACACUAGAGUAUGCAGAGUGGUUCUGACACAGAGUUAUUUAUUGCAGUGUUUGUGAUAUUAAAAUAGAAAUACAUUCCAUUGAUAAGGAUCUUUCAGUUAACAUUAGUCACCUGAAACAUGUACAACCCAGCACAAGUCAUACAAAAAAAGGUUGAUAAUGGAAAGAUCUCCAGUAUGUAUUUUCAGAGAGCCAGCAGGAUAUAUGAACUGUUGCCAUGUGAAUAAAAAAUAUACCAAAUUGUUUAAAUAUCAUAAAUACUUCUAGAAGGGACUGGAGGACAAAGGAGAGACAAGUUUUAUUUAUUUUUGAGGCAGGAUCUUGACUAUAUAUAAUCGUGGCUGACCUGGAAUUCACUAUGUAGACCAGGGUAGACUACAAUUCAUGGACAGUCCUGCCUCUGCCUCCUGAGUACUGGGACCAUAGGCUUUCACCACAGCCUAGCUUCAUCAAUUCUCUUUUGUAUUUGAAAAAGCUGUCUAUAAACAAAUAUAUAAAUAAAAUUACACCUUUCAGUGCGUA
Molecule: long non-coding RNA, 1454 nt
Organism: Mesocricetus auratus (golden hamster)
Lineage: Eukaryota; Metazoa; Chordata; Mammalia; Rodentia; Cricetidae
Exons: 2
Source: RefSeq, a predicted model, not a curated record